Scophthalmus maximus (turbot) is the source of this 520-nucleotide long non-coding RNA. RefSeq lists it as uncharacterized. The transcript is spliced from 3 exons. The record is from RefSeq and is a predicted model, not a curated record. NCBI's taxonomy places the organism in Eukaryota, Metazoa, Chordata, Actinopteri, Pleuronectiformes, Scophthalmidae.
UGAUCCGGGCUCCGUUGUGAAGGUGCUUCAGCAUGUGGUGGCACUGGGAGUCUCUGACCGCCCGGCCGAAGGUCUUCUCCAGGGAGAGGCGGCUGGAGAGGCCGUCGGAGUAGUGCAGGGAGGAGCCUUGGGCCCGACCUGUGGGAAACCAAGACGACGACGACGACAAUGAAGACGUAACCUCGGUGGAGAACAUUCACCUGCUUGCUCUUGGAAAAGACUCCUGGACCAAAUGAAAUGUGAAAUUUACUUUCAUCUGAAAAGAGAGGACGUUGGACCUCUGAGCAACGGCCCAGUUCUUUUUCUCCACAGCCCAGUCCAGGGUGAUGAGGUCACUCGGUUACGGAUCUGUCGUGUGGCCGGCAUAUUCAUUUCUUCACCGCAGCCCUGCAGCUGACAUCGGCGGACAUGCUUUGUUUCGUAGCCCUGUUUUGCCUCAAACCUGAAAAAAAGAUCACAAUCCUGAAAAAGUCCAGGCCUCGUCUCUGGAGGAUGUCAAGAAGCAUUGUGGGAGGAAAGA